CGCCCUGACUCCCUGGACACCGUUCCCUUGGAGCCUCGGAGCCCCCCCUGGUGUCCCCUGGGUGAUGGUCCUGGACAAGAGGGCUGGGAAGAAGCGGGCAGCAAGGGGAGGAUUCUGCCCCAGACGUCCCCAGGCCGGGGGUCCCCAUGGGCUCUGCCCUGACGUCUUACUCCUGCACCCAGCGGCUCCCACCACAGAGACUGCUCCAGUUGCAGGUUAGACCCCACUUGCGGUUGUGUGUUCCAGAAGUCUCCGGGCGCUGUGUGGCAGGAUGAGGAGCUGCCCCCCUGGAGGAUCACGCAGGCCUCUGGGUGGCAUUCAGCAGGGUUGGCUGCGGCACCGGCUGACCACAGGGCCCACCUUUCCAGUCCCGGCAGGAGAGAAGCGUCUCAACCAUGUUGCAGGCACACGGGUGAGGGUGCUGCCUGCCUCCCUGACUCUUACCUCCCCAAGAGAGGAAAACAAAAGAAAAAAAGAUAAGACCAGGAAAUGGAAAUAAGACAAAGAAGAAUGAAAUUUUAAAAUCCGAACAAACCCAAACAUGCUGUUUCAAAACGUAAGUCCAUGAAGAGUCUCGUGGUGAGAAAGACAGAAUUCCUAGCCAGGAAAAUGCCCCGUGCUUGCCCCUUGGAGGCAGGUGCUCACCACGGCAGGGUCUAUCUAGGUGUUUAUUAAGGUGUCUCACCACGUAUCGCCCGGAUUCACCAGAGAUGCAGAGGCGGAGGAUACGUUCCUGUUUACAUUGAUACAUAGUUACAUAGGUGAAGAGCUUUACAGUGAGGAAGCGGCUCACGCGGCCAUGAGGGACCCAGGCAGGAGCUGCUGUUGCUGCCCCAGGUGCGAUUCCUUCCUCCUCAGGGAGGCUCAGCUCCCCGCUGCAGCCAGGUGGGCCCAGGCAGGCCUCCUUGGCCUACAGCGCAGACGGCCAAGUGCUGGUCACGGCCAUUGCAUCUACACCACCCCUUUCUCAGCAGCAACUCCACGAGUGCUCGAUGGGAAACUGCAGACAGCAGCCUUGCCAAGCGGAUGCCCAGGGCCGACCACCGCAGCCCCUCCAGCCACGUUCUCCAUCAGGGCAGCCUCCUGCUGGCUUCGGCACUGCAGGUAGCACACCAGCGAGGGGUGGGCCUGUGUGCCACGAAGCGUCAUCCAUGGACGUGCCACGAAGGGUUAUUCUUCUUUUGACUUUUUCUGAUGGUUUAAAACUGUAAGAACACACAGCUCACAGUCCACACGGAAGCAGGCAUGUGGCUCCUGCCUCACUGUGGGAGGAAAGAUGUUCUCAAAAGAAAUGGCUGGGUUUGCGGAGGGGUUUGUGGAGGGCCGGGCAGUCUGAACACAGCCCAGCUGGCCUUGGUGGAGGUGGGCCUGGCACAGGGGGGUGGGAGCAGUUCUUCCUGACGCAAAUCCUAACGCCUUCAACACUGACCUUCCAAAGAAACAGCUGCUGGACGCCGCCCGACAGCAACGAGAGCCCCACUCCUGAGGCGCGCGACUCUCGAGGGCUUUGUUGUUUAUUUGGCACCCGAGGCCCAGGCUCACAGGGUCUCGGGUGCAUGGGACCCCCCAGCCCUUCCCACUGCUCUGCGAUUCUUCCUCCCUUCUGGAAAGGUCAGUUUGGGGUUCUAUUCUGGGAGGGGCCAGGCCGCCACCUGGCCUCAUUAACUGGGCAGGCCACUGGGACCUCCUCCGAAAUGCUGGGGCCAUGGCCGAAGACUUGCCUCCCGCCAGGAGCCUUCAGCCCUCUUAGUAGUGGAUGUGGGCUUCCUCCCUCUGAGGGGACGUCCUGAUGGACACGAGAUGUGGGGCGCCCGUGGGUGGCCGCCUGCUCCUGCCACAGUCCCCCUUGGGGCCUGAGCUGCGGCUGCUGCCUCCGUAGGGAAGGAACAAUGGGGGAUGGGCCCGCCCCUACCCAGAGAGAGUGGGCCGUGUUGCCUGCAAGGCCUCAGCCAGGGGACCACGUUUCUCUGCAUCUUGUGGCUUUGGGUUCUGCAGGCUGUUUGUGGGAGAACGGGAAACAGUCCCAGAGAUGACGCUGCCUCAUGCAGGUUAACAGAGUUGGAGGUCAGGCCGACGCCUGAGGCUCAGGACGCUGAUGGGUGCCUUCCCUCGCCAGGGGUGAGCCCCCAGCCCCGUCUUCCCUCGCCAGGGUGAGCCCCUCCCCAGCCCCGAGUUUGGAGGGGCCGUGGCUGCCGGGGACUCGCGUGAGGAGCUUGCUGUAAAUACGGAGCUCUGGAGCAACAGUGGCCUCACGCCACUGGCAUCUCGGGCAGGACCUGCCUCUUUUUGGAACACUUUCGAGAUCUUUGCGUUUGUUCGUUUCCAGCCAUUUGGUGGAGACUCUGAGAGCCUGAACUUAGAAGCCCGCCGAGAGGGGAAAUGGCGGCCUCCGGGGAGCGGGCAGCCUGGCCGCAGAGCGCGCGGGACCCAGGGCCACCGUCCUCCCGAGACAGCGGCAGCAGCCGCCACUCACCGUGCGGAAUUAAAAACGGCUCUCUGGUUGCCACGGCAACCAGCCGUCUCCCCCCAGCGUCAGUUUGAAUUUGUGCAGACCAUUCCUAGCCAAGAUUCAAGCCAACAGAUUCGUGCUUACCCUGAGGUGAAGCCUCGUUUGAGAACCAAAUAAUAAAAUUAACAAACCUAAAA
Molecule: long non-coding RNA, 2646 nt
Filed under: Homo sapiens (human)
Lineage: Eukaryota; Metazoa; Chordata; Mammalia; Primates; Hominidae
Description: ADGRA1 antisense RNA 1
Source: RNAcentral